RNAcentral lists this ribosomal RNA (253 nucleotides) under uncultured prokaryote. Its description in RNAcentral is "partial 16S ribosomal RNA". It matches the Rfam family "Bacterial small subunit ribosomal RNA", at positions 525 to 777 of the family's 1533-position model. The record is from RNAcentral.
ACGUAGGGACCAAGCGUUGUUCGGAUUUACUGGGCGUAAAGGGAGCGUAGGCGGCAAUUCAAGUCAGUUGUGAAAUCUCCGAGCUUAACUCGGAACGGUCAACUGAUACUGCUUUGCUAGAGUACAGAAGGGGCAAUCGGAAUUCUUGGUGUAGCGGUGAAAUGCGUAGAUAUCAAGCGGAACACCGGUGGCGAAGGCGACCUUCUGGACAGUGACUGACGCUGAGACGCGAAAGCGUGGGGAGCAAACAGGA